AGUCUAUUAAUUAUCUCUCUCUAAAUUUCUAAGAGUUUACUUUAUAUUAUAUUAUUCCAUAAGAAAAAAUAGUUUGGUAUGUUUAUAUUAUUUGACCAACAUAGAGGUGUUCAUUGGGCGACUUUUUACUUUAACGGUUUGGCUUAUCGGUUAUCGGUUUUUAAAUGGAUUCAUCUGUUAGCCACCCGUUAAGAUAUCGGGCGGAUUGGUAUCUGGUUAGCUCUUAUCGGGCGGUUAAUGGGCGGUUUAUUGGUUUAAUACCUAAGGGCUCAAAUGUAUUCUGUCCGCACACUAUACUGAAAUAUCAAGCUCAUAGCUUUGACAAUUUGUUGAUC
RNAcentral lists this long non-coding RNA (335 nucleotides) under Nicotiana benthamiana. RNAcentral describes it as "long non-coding RNA (NBEN_LNC010426)". Lineage: Eukaryota; Viridiplantae; Streptophyta; Magnoliopsida; Solanales; Solanaceae. The record is from RNAcentral.